RNAcentral lists this ribosomal RNA (253 nucleotides) under uncultured bacterium. RNAcentral describes it as "partial 16S ribosomal RNA". It matches the Rfam family "Bacterial small subunit ribosomal RNA", at positions 524 to 776 of the family's 1533-position model. The record is from RNAcentral.
UACGUAGGGUCCGAGCGUUGUCCGGAAUUACUGGGCGUAAAGAGCUCGUAGGUGGUUUGUCGCGUUGUUCGUGAAAACUCACAGCUCAACUGUGGGCGUGCGGGCGAUACGGGCAGACUAGAGUACUGCAGGGGAGACUGGAAUUCCUGGUGUAGCGGUGGAAUGCGCAGAUAUCAGGAGGAACACCGAUGGCGAAGGCAGAUCUCUGGGCCGUAACUGACGCUGAGGAGCGAAAGCAUGGGGAGCGAACAGG